GGGAUGUUGGUCUAGCUUGGUGAAUGACAUUGCUCUUAUAUGGCGAAGAUCGGUGGUUCAAACCCACCACAUCCCACCA
This 79-nucleotide transfer RNA is filed under the name Candidatus Thorarchaeota archaeon SMTZ-45. Its description in RNAcentral is "tRNA-Ile". It matches the Rfam family "tRNA". From Rfam's summary of the family: Transfer RNA (tRNA) molecules are approximately 80 nucleotides in length. RNAcentral also lists the same sequence under 1 other name. The record is from RNAcentral. Lineage: Archaea; Promethearchaeati; Candidatus Thorarchaeota.